AUAUCUGGGCAAACGCUGCAUAUAUUUAGUAUGUUGAGGAAAGUCCAUGCUCGCACAGUCUGUGAUGAUUGUAGUGUUCGUGCUAGGGGAAUAAAUAACCCUAGGUAAGUUAAACUUAACGGCUCCGAGGUAACCUUAAAUGGUUAUAGUAGGUAUAAAAGUGCCAUAGAGACGAGCUCAUUUGGAAACGAAUGAGGUGGAACGCGGUAAACCCCACGAGCGAGAAACCCAAAUUUUGGUAGGGGAGUCUUUGAUGACGAAAGAUAAGGAGUCAAAGGAUCGAAAGAUAGAUAAAUGUUUGCCACCAUUUAUGGUACAGAACAUGGCUUAUUAGA
This 335-nucleotide RNase P RNA is filed under the name Bacilli bacterium. RNAcentral describes it as "RNase P RNA component class B". It matches the Rfam family "Bacterial RNase P class B". From Rfam's summary of the family: Ribonuclease P (RNase P) is a ubiquitous endoribonuclease, found in archaea, bacteria and eukarya as well as chloroplasts and mitochondria. Its best characterised activity is the generation of mature 5'-ends of tRNAs by cleaving the 5'-leader elements of precursor-tRNAs. Lineage: Bacteria; Bacillati; Bacillota; Bacilli. The record is from RNAcentral.